RNAcentral lists this ribosomal RNA (780 nucleotides) under uncultured bacterium. Its description in RNAcentral is "bacterial SSU rRNA". It matches the Rfam family "Bacterial small subunit ribosomal RNA", at positions 34 to 796 of the family's 1533-position model. The record is from RNAcentral.
CGCUGGCGGCGUGCCUAAUACAUGCAAGUCGAGCGAACGGACGAGAAGCUUGCUUCUCUGAUGUUAGCGGCGGACGGGUGAGUAACACGUGGAUAACCUACCUAUAAGACUGGGAUAACUUCGGGAAACCGGAGCUAAUACCGGAUAAUAUUUUGAACCGCAUGGUUCAAAAGUGAAAGACGGUCUUGCUGUCACUUAUAGAUGGAUCCGCGCUGCAUUAGCUAGUUGGUAAGGUAACGGCUUACCAAGGCAACGAUGCAUAGCCGACCUGAGAGGGUGAUCGGCCACACUGGAACUGAGACACGGUCCAGACUCCUACGGGAGGCAGCAGUAGGGAAUCUUCCGCAAUGGGCGAAAGCCUGACGGAGCAACGCCGCGUGAGUGAUGAAGGUCUUCGGAUCGUAAAACUCUGUUAUUAGGGAAGAACAUAUGUGUAAGUAACUGUGCACAUCUUGACGGUACCUAAUCAGAAAGCCACGGCUAACUACGUGCCAGCAGCCGCGGUAAUACGUAGGUGGCAAGCGUUAUCCGGAAUUAUUGGGCGUAAAGCGCGCGUAGGCGGUUUUUUAAGUCUGAUGUGAAAGCCCACGGCUCAACCGUGGAGGGUCAUUGGAAACUGGAAAACUUGAGUGCAGAAGAGGAAAGUGGAAUUCCAUGUGUAGCGGUGAAAUGCGCAGAGAUAUGGAGGAACACCAGUGGCGAAGGCGACUUUCUGGUCUGUAACUGACGCUGAUGUGCGAAAGCGUGGGGAUCAAACAGGAUUAGAUACCCUGGUAGUCC